AGUCCUUCGCCGUCCCUCGCCGUCCUUCGCCAUCGCACGCCACCGCACCCCAUCUCUCGAAAUCUGCAGACAUCUUGAUUUUUCCCACGCUGUCUGUCAGGUCUCCGCCGCCACUCGACGCCAGGGCGCCGGGCCUUGUGGGCUGUGCUGCACCUCGGACGGCUUCGCACCAGCCAGCGCCCUCUCUCUCCUGCAGCACUCUGAUCUGCACCCCCUGAGGGGCUUCCACUGUCCGCGGGGUGAGAAUGCCCCUGGGAGUGUCACAUGACUGCCGCCCCAUGUGUGUGAGAGGCGUCCUCUGGGAGAGCAUGGAUCCUGAGGUCCCAGGAUUGUCAGCUGACCUCUGUCCUGUGUGCCCAGUGGCCCCAGGUGACGUGUCUUCAAGAAGAGGCUGAGCUGCGGUGCUUGUAAGAGUCAUGUGCUGUUCCUGGGGCUUGGAUGAUGUAGGGGAAGCAAGGUGAAAGUGGUAUCCCGUGGUUCCACGUUCUGUCCUGCUGUGGGGCUGUCCCUCACAUGCUUUCAGUGGCUGUUGCAGAGGAAGAGCCUCCGGAAAUCUGCGUCUCAGCCUUAGAUCCAAGGACAGUCCAAGGAAGUCCUAAGACCAUGGAGUUGGUGAUCUGGGAUCUGGGUUUGCUGAUAUUUCUCACCGUGAAUCUCUUGGUGGUGUUUGUGGGCACGAGAGGGGCAGAGAAUGGAGAGUGAGGCUACCACAUGAAGCGUCACCAGAGCUGCUCCCUGCUGCCUGCUCAGAGCACCCCGGAUCCACUGUUCAAUCUGCACAAGAUUCGGGGUCCAGACAUGGGAGACUUCAGCUGCCUCAGAGGACCGUGGACAGGGAAGGCCAGCCUCGCAUCCCUCUGUCCAUGCCUGGAAUGACUUUAAUAACCAAGAGUUUUAUUUUUGAAUUUGUAGCUGUCGUUCACUUUUUACCCACCCAUUCAAUAAACCUUACAGAAUUGC
Molecule: long non-coding RNA, 960 nt
Filed under: Homo sapiens (human)
Lineage: Eukaryota; Metazoa; Chordata; Mammalia; Primates; Hominidae
Description: HSALNT0400881
Source: RNAcentral